GCAUCGGUGGCUUAGUGGUAGAAUGCUCGCCUGCCACGCGGGCGGCCCGGGUUCGAUUCCGGGCCGAUGCA
RNAcentral lists this transfer RNA (71 nucleotides) under Cordylochernes scorpioides. Its description in RNAcentral is "tRNA-Gly". It matches the Rfam family "tRNA". From Rfam's summary of the family: Transfer RNA (tRNA) molecules are approximately 80 nucleotides in length. Their secondary structure includes four short double-helical elements and three loops (D, anti-codon, and T loops). Lineage: Eukaryota; Metazoa; Arthropoda; Arachnida; Pseudoscorpiones; Chernetidae. The record is from RNAcentral.